Molecule: ribosomal RNA, 2930 nt
Filed under: Bacillus cereus
Lineage: Bacteria; Bacillati; Bacillota; Bacilli; Caryophanales; Bacillaceae
Description: bacterial LSU rRNA
Rfam family: Bacterial large subunit ribosomal RNA
Source: RNAcentral
UUUGGUUAAGUUAGAAAGGGCGCACGGUGGAUGCCUUGACACUAGGAGUCGAUGAAGGACGGGACUAACGCCGAUAUGCUUCGGGGAGCUGUAAGUAAGCUUUGAUCCGAAGAUUUCCGAAUGGGGAAACCCACCAUACGUAAUGGUAUGGUAUCCUUAUCUGAAUACAUAGGGUAAGGAAGACAGACCCAGGGAACUGAAACAUCUAAGUACCUGGAGGAAGAGAAAGCAAAUGCGAUUUCCUGAGUAGCGGCGAGCGAAACGGAACAUAGCCCAAACCAAGAGGCUUGCCUCUUGGGGUUGUAGGACAUUCUAUACGGAGUUACAAAGGAACGAGGUAGACGAAGCGACCUGGAAAGGUCCGUCGUAGAGGGUAACAACCCCGUAGUCGAAACUUCGUUCUCUCUUGAAUGUAUCCUGAGUACGGCGGAACACGUGAAAUUCCGUCGGAAUCUGGGAGGACCAUCUCCCAAGGCUAAAUACUCCCUAGUGAUCGAUAGUGAACCAGUACCGUGAGGGAAAGGUGAAAAGCACCCCGGAAGGGGAGUGAAAGAGAUCCUGAAACCGUGUGCCUACAAAUAGUCAGAGCCCGUUAACGGGUGAUGGCGUGCCUUUUGUAGAAUGAACCGGCGAGUUACGAUCCCGUGCGAGGUUAAGCUGAAGAGGCGGAGCCGCAGCGAAAGCGAGUCUGAAUAGGGCGUUUAGUACGUGGUCGUAGACCCGAAACCAGGUGAUCUACCCAUGUCCAGGGUGAAGUUCAGGUAACACUGAAUGGAGGCCCGAACCCACGCACGUUGAAAAGUGCGGGGAUGAGGUGUGGGUAGCGGAGAAAUUCCAAUCGAACCUGGAGAUAGCUGGUUCUCCCCGAAAUAGCUUUAGGGCUAGCCUUAAGUGUAAGAGUCUUGGAGGUAGAGCACUGAUUGGACUAGGGGUCCUCAUCGGAUUACCGAAUUCAGUCAAACUCCGAAUGCCAAUGACUUAUCCUUAGGAGUCAGACUGCGAGUGAUAAGAUCCGUAGUCAAAAGGGAAACAGCCCAGACCGCCAGCUAAGGUCCCAAAGUGUGUAUUAAGUGGAAAAGGAUGUGGAGUUGCUUAGACAACUAGGAUGUUGGCUUAGAAGCAGCCACCAUUUAAAGAGUGCGUAAUAGCUCACUAGUCGAGUGACUCUGCGCCGAAAAUGUACCGGGGCUAAAUACACCACCGAAGCUGCGGAUUGAUACCGAAUGGUAUCAGUGGUAGGGGAGCGUUCUAAGGACAGUGAAGUCAGACCGUAAGGACUGGUGGAGUGCUUAGAAGUGAGAAUGCCGGUAUGAGUAGCGAAAGACGGGUGAGAAUCCCGUCCACCGAAUGCCUAAGGUUUCCUGAGGAAGGCUCGUCCGCUCAGGGUUAGUCAGGACCUAAGCCGAGGCCGACAGGCGUAGGCGAUGGACAACAGGUUGAUAUUCCUGUACCACCUCUUUAUCGUUUGAGCAAUGGAGGGACGCAGAAGGAUAGAAGAAGCGUGCGAUUGGUUGUGCACGUCCAAGCAGUUAGGCUGAUAAGUAGGCAAAUCCGCUUAUCGUGAAGGCUGAGCUGUGAUGGGGAAGCUCCUUAUGGAGCGAAGUCUUUGAUUCCCCGCUGCCAAGAAAAGCUUCUAGCGAGAUAAAAGGUGCCUGUACCGCAAACCGACACAGGUAGGCGAGGAGAGAAUCCUAAGGUGUGCGAGAGAACUCUGGUUAAGGAACUCGGCAAAAUGACCCCGUAACUUCGGGAGAAGGGGUGCUUUCUUAACGGAAAGCCGCAGUGAAUAGGCCCAAGCGACUGUUUAGCAAAAACACAGCUCUCUGCGAAGCCGUAAGGCGAAGUAUAGGGGGUGACACCUGCCCGGUGCUGGAAGGUUAAGGAGAGGGGUUAGCGUAAGCGAAGCUCUGAACUGAAGCCCCAGUAAACGGCGGCCGUAACUAUAACGGUCCUAAGGUAGCGAAAUUCCUUGUCGGGUAAGUUCCGACCCGCACGAAAGGUGUAACGAUUUGGGCACUGUCUCAACCAGAGACUCGGUGAAAUUAUAGUACCUGUGAAGAUGCAGGUUACCCGCGACAGGACGGAAAGACCCCGUGGAGCUUUACUGUAGCCUGAUAUUGAAUUUUGGUACAGUUUGUACAGGAUAGGCGGGAGCCAUUGAAACCGGAGCGCUAGCUUCGGUGGAGGCGCUGGUGGGAUACCGCCCUGACUGUAUUGAAAUUCUAACCUACGGGUCUUAUCGACCCGGGAGACAGUGUCAGGUGGGCAGUUUGACUGGGGCGGUCGCCUCCUAAAGUGUAACGGAGGCGCCCAAAGGUUCCCUCAGAAUGGUUGGAAAUCAUUCGUAGAGUGCAAAGGCAUAAGGGAGCUUGACUGCGAGACCUACAAGUCGAGCAGGGACGAAAGUCGGGCUUAGUGAUCCGGUGGUUCCGCAUGGAAGGGCCAUCGCUCAACGGAUAAAAGCUACCCCGGGGAUAACAGGCUUAUCUCCCCCAAGAGUCCACAUCGACGGGGAGGUUUGGCACCUCGAUGUCGGCUCAUCGCAUCCUGGGGCUGUAGUCGGUCCCAAGGGUUGGGCUGUUCGCCCAUUAAAGCGGUACGCGAGCUGGGUUCAGAACGUCGUGAGACAGUUCGGUCCCUAUCCGUCGUGGGCGUAGGAAAUUUGAGAGGAGCUGUCCUUAGUACGAGAGGACCGGGAUGGACGCACCGCUGGUGUACCAGUUGUUCUGCCAAGGGCAUAGCUGGGUAGCUAUGUGCGGAAGGGAUAAGUGCUGAAAGCAUCUAAGCAUGAAGCCCCCCUCAAGAUGAGAUUUCCCAUAGCGUAAGCUAGUAAGAUCCCUGAAAGAUGAUCAGGUUGAUAGGUUCGAGGUGGAAGCAUGGUGACAUGUGGAGCUGACGAAUACUAAUAGAUCGAGGACUUAACAAUAUAA